ACUUAUCAGCGAUGUGUACAGAAUUGUCUUCAUACUCAGAUUGGGCGCAAUGUUCAUGCUUAUGUGGACGACAUUGUGGUGAAAUCCAGGAAGAAGGAGACAUUGAUAAAUGACCUAAAGGAGACCUUUGACAAUCUUCGGGUUUACAAGAUGAUGCUCAAUCCGGACAAGUGUGUCUUCGGUGUUCCGGCAGGCAAGCUUUUAGGUUUUCUGGUGUCUAACAGGGGCAUUGAGGCUAAUCCGGAAAAGAUUAAGGCGAUUACGUCUUUGGCUAAACGGUGUGUAUCAAUGAUGUUUAGCGUUUAG
RNAcentral lists this ribosomal RNA (306 nucleotides) under Triticum aestivum (bread wheat). Its description in RNAcentral is "partial small subunit ribosomal RNA". The record is from RNAcentral. Lineage: Eukaryota; Viridiplantae; Streptophyta; Magnoliopsida; Poales; Poaceae.